RNAcentral lists this ribosomal RNA (558 nucleotides) under uncultured bacterium. RNAcentral describes it as "bacterial SSU rRNA". It matches the Rfam family "Bacterial small subunit ribosomal RNA", at positions 338 to 916 of the family's 1533-position model. The record is from RNAcentral.
CCUACGGGAGGCAGCAGUGGGGAAUAUUGCACAAUGGGGGAAACCCUGAUGCAGCAACGCCGCGUGAGUGAUGACGGCCUUCGGGUUGUAAAACUCUGUCUUUGGGGACGAUAAUGACGGUACCCAAGGAGGAAGCCACGGCUAACUACGUGCCAGCAGCCGCGGUAAUACGUAGGUGGCAAGCGUUGUCCGGAUUUACUGGGCGUAAAGGGAGCGUAGGUGGAUAUUUAAGUGGGAUGUGAAAUACUCAGGCUUAACCUGGGUGCUGCAUUCCAAACUGGAUAUCUAGAGUGCAGGAGAGGAAAGGAGAAUUCCUAGUGUAGCGGUGAAAUGCGUAGAGAUUAGGAAGAAUACCAGUGGCGAAGGCGCCUUUCUGGACUGUAACUGACACUGAGGCUCGAAAGCGUGGGGAGCAAACAGGAUUAGAUACCCUGGUAGUCCACGCCGUAAACGAUGAUCACUCGCUGUUUGCGAUACACAGUAAGCGGCUGAGCGAAAGCAUUAAGUGAUCCACCUGGGGAGUACGAUCGCAAGGUUGAAACUCAAAUGAAUUGACGG